ACAAACUUGGUCAUUUAGAGGAAGUAAAAGUCGUAACAAGGUUUCCGUAGGUGAACCUGCGGAAGGAUCAUUAUUGAGUAAGGGUUCUCUGAGCCCGAUCUCCAACCCUUUGUUUAACAUACCUUGUUGCUUCGGCAGGCCCGUCUUCGGACCGCCGGGGGGGUGCUUAUCCCUCUGGCCAGUGCUUGUCGAUAGCCUAUUCAAACUCAGUUUUAACUAUGUUGUCUAAAUAUCAAAAUAAAUUGAUUAAAACUUUCAACAACGGAUCUCUUGGUUCUGGCAUCGAUGAAGAACGCAGC
RNAcentral lists this unclassified non-coding RNA (299 nucleotides) under uncultured fungus. Its description in RNAcentral is "partial contains small subunit ribosomal RNA, internal transcribed spacer 1, and 5.8S ribosomal RNA". The stretch from base 1 to 73 matches the Rfam family "Eukaryotic small subunit ribosomal RNA", at positions 1759 to 1831 of the family's 1831-position model. Lineage: Eukaryota; Fungi. The record is from RNAcentral.